UCUGUAACUACUUGAUUAGAGAGUCAGUCAUUCUUUAACUACUUAAUUCUUCAUUCUUACUCCUUUUAAUCCAGGAAAGGAAUCAACAGAUUAGGCAAAGC
Long non-coding RNA from Aethalodelphis obliquidens (Pacific white-sided dolphin), 101 nucleotides. RefSeq lists it as uncharacterized. NCBI's taxonomy places the organism in Eukaryota, Metazoa, Chordata, Mammalia, Artiodactyla, Delphinidae. The transcript has 3 exons. The record is from RefSeq and is a predicted model, not a curated record.